Molecule: ribosomal RNA, 568 nt
Filed under: uncultured Anaplasma sp.
Lineage: Bacteria; Pseudomonadati; Pseudomonadota; Alphaproteobacteria; Rickettsiales; Anaplasmataceae
Description: bacterial SSU rRNA
Rfam family: Bacterial small subunit ribosomal RNA
Source: RNAcentral
AACGGAUUAUUCUUUAUAGCUUGCUAUGGAGGAUAAUUAGUGGCAGACGGGUGAGUAAUGCAUAGGAAUCUACCUAGUAGUAUGGGAUAGCCACUAGAAAUGGUGGGUAAUACUGUAUAAUCCCUGCGGGGGAAAGAUUUAUCGCUAUUAGAUGAGCCUAUGUUAGAUUAGCUAGUUGGUAGGGUAAAGGCCUACCAAGGCGAUGAUCUAUAGCUGGUCUGAGAGGAUGAUCAGCCACACUGGAACUGAGAUACGGUCCAGACUCCUACGGGAGGCAGCAGUGGGGAAUAUUGGACAAUGGGCGCAAGCCUGAUCCAGCUAUGCCGCGUGAGUGAGGAAGGCCUUAGGGUUGUAAAACUCUUUCAGUAGGGAAGAUAAUGACGGUACCUACAGAAGAAGUCCCGGCAAACUCCGUGCCAGCAGCCGCGGUAAUACGGAGGGGGCAAGCGUUGUUCGGAAUUAUUGGGCGUAAAGGGCAUGUAGGCGGUUCGGUAAGUUAAAGGUGAAAUGCCAGGGCUUAACCCUGGAGCUGCUUUUAAUACUGCCAGACUAGAGUCCGGGAGAGGAU